AGUGAACGCUGGCGGUAGGCCUAACACAUGCAAGUCGAACGGCAGCACAGUAAGAGCUUGCUCUUACGGGUGGCGAGUGGCGGACGGGUGAGGAAUACAUCGGAAUCUACUUUUUCGUGGGGGAUAACGUAGGGAAACUUACGCUAAUACCGCAUACGACCUACGGGUGAAAGCAGGGGAUCUUCGGACCUUGCGCGAUUGAAUGAGCCGAUGUCGGAUUAGCUAGUUGGCGGGGUAAAGGCCCACCAAGGCGACGAUCCGUAGCUGGUCUGAGAGGAUGAUCAGCCACACUGGAACUGAGACACGGUCCAGACUCCUACGGGAGGCAGCAGUGGGGAAUAUUGGACAAUGGGCGCAAGCCUGAUCCAGCUAUACCGCGUGGGUGAAGAAGGCCUUCGGGUUGUAAAGCCCAUUUGUUGGGAAAGAAAAGCAGCAGGUUAAUACCCCGCUGUUCUGACGGUACCCAAAGAAUAAGCACCGGCUAACUUCGUG
Molecule: ribosomal RNA, 492 nt
Filed under: uncultured bacterium
Lineage: Bacteria
Description: partial 16S ribosomal RNA
Rfam family: Bacterial small subunit ribosomal RNA
Source: RNAcentral